This 782-nucleotide long non-coding RNA is filed under the name Gossypium raimondii (Peruvian cotton). RNAcentral describes it as "long non-coding RNA (GRAI_LNC002420)". The record is from RNAcentral. Lineage: Eukaryota; Viridiplantae; Streptophyta; Magnoliopsida; Malvales; Malvaceae.
UAACGAAACGUAAUCCAAAAUAUAAACAAUUAGUAUUUCAUUAACUGAAUAUGAAUAAUAAAACUGAAUAUAUAAUAUUAAAAAAAAUUACUUAUUUUGAUCAAACCAGUAAUCAAGUCAGUCAAACUGCUAAUUCUUGAUUUAACUAAUUUGAUCAGAUAGUAAAUAAAAAUUUAAAAGUACUUCAAAUUUUAUGGACUUAGUUCAAUCGCCCUUUUUCACCGGCUUUAAGUAGUUUACUCAAGUAUUGGUUCAACCCCUUUGUUUAAACCCAUCAACAAGUCCUGCAACUUGGUUCAAUUGCCAGUUUUUUUUCCAGCUUUUGGCUUUCUAAUGGUUGCUAGCGGUUCGCUUAAAUACUGUUUAAAUUGAUAUACCAAUCAAUUUUUGAUGUAAUUAGUCGAUUCCGAUUAUAUUAACAUAGAUGAUAAAAUAAAAAACGAAGGUAUCAACCAAUUUUUUUUUCAUCCAAACAAAAACAGAGGUGGUGGCUAGAAACACUAACCGUUGUUGCAGGCGCUGAGAUCUGUAGUGACACCACACUCACGAGCGAUCCUAAGAGCUUCAGAGACGGUGACGUUAAAAGAUGAAAGCAAAGUAGGGUCGUUAAAGAGGUUGCAAAGGCAAGUAAGUUGAGUUUCCACGGCUUGUUUGAUAGGAUUACAGCAAUCAUCCUGCGGUUGUGCAGUGGCGUUGUUAAGGUAAGGAGCACAAGGCACCAGGCUCUGCGCACAAGUCUCUUGCGCAACCGUGAACGUUGCCAUCAUCGUCCCUAAUAUCAC